UCCACAGCACAGUUCUGAGAGGAUAGGAAUGC
Molecule: non-coding RNA, 32 nt
Filed under: Rattus norvegicus (Norway rat)
Lineage: Eukaryota; Metazoa; Chordata; Mammalia; Rodentia; Muridae
Source: RNAcentral